GACGAACGCUGGCGGCGUGCCUAAUACAUGCCAGUCGAACGCACAGUUUAUACCGUAGCUUGCUACACCAUAGACUGUGAGUUGCGAACGGGUGAGUAACGCGUAGGUAACCUGCCUGGUAGCGGGGGAUAACUAUUGGAAACGAUAGCUAAUACCGCAUAAUAUUGAUUAUUGCAUGAUAAUUAAUUGAAAGGUGCAAUUGCACCACUACCAGAUGGACCUGCGUUGUAUUAGCUAGUAGGUGAGGUAAGGGCUCACCUAGGCGACGAUACAUAGCCGACCUGAGAGGGUGAACGGCCCAACUGGGACUGAGACACGGCCCAGAAUCCUAAGGGAGGCAGCAGUAGGGAAUCUUCGGCCAUGGACGAAAGGCUGACCGAGGAACGCCGCGUGAGUGAAGAAGGGUUUCGGAUCGUAAAGCUCUGUUGUAAGAGAAGAACGGGUGUGAGAGUGGAAAGUUCACACUGUGACGGUAUCUUACCAGAAAGGAACGGCUAACUACGUG
This 505-nucleotide ribosomal RNA is filed under the name uncultured bacterium. RNAcentral describes it as "partial 16S ribosomal RNA". It matches the Rfam family "Bacterial small subunit ribosomal RNA", at positions 28 to 507 of the family's 1533-position model. The record is from RNAcentral.